This 3219-nucleotide long non-coding RNA is filed under the name Sus scrofa (pig). RNAcentral describes it as "lncRNA (ENSSSCG00000062896.1, ENSSSCG00160006888.1)". Lineage: Eukaryota; Metazoa; Chordata; Mammalia; Artiodactyla; Suidae. The record is from RNAcentral.
CUUCCUUAUUCUAAUAUGUGCCACUUGGAUAAACUUGUAUGAAACAUUUUUUUAUACUGUUUUGCAUGUAUUUGUGUUUGAGUCUGGUUUUUCCAGGUAGUCAGCAUUAUUUGGCUAUUCAGAACAAAACAUCUAUAAAAUAGGUGUGUUAGAAAUUAAAAUUUGACAUUAAAAUUUUAUAAUAAAUGCCCAUUUGUCCAGAAUUUAAUUCAACUAAGGUAAUUUGAAAACUUUUUUAAAAAGUACUGUAUUAAGUGUGCAAAGGCUUUCAUGCACUGUAAAAUAUUGUCCUUUUCCUUAAAGAGCUGGUAAGUAUGAAGUGGGAUAAAACAUAGCAGAAUAGUGUCACUAAAGGAAAUUCUCAAGUUAACUGAGAAUUAUUACAGUCAUCAUAAAAAGGCUUAUCAAUGGCCAAAGAAUAAAGAAUGAAGUGUUACAUACCUGAUACCUAAAACCCAUUGAAUAAUUUACAAUAUUCUUUUUUUGUUAUAGUUGAUUUACAAUGUUGUGCCAAUUUCUGCUGUACAGCAGAGUGACCUAGUCAUACUUAUACAUAUGUUCUUUGUCUAAUAUUAUCUUCUAUCAUGUUCUAUCCCAAGAGACUGGACACAGUUCCCUGUGCUACAUAUUGGGAGCCCAUAGCCCAUACAUUCUAAAUGAAAUAGUUUGCAUUUAUUAACUCCAAACUCCCAGUCCAUCCCACUCCCUCCCCUCUUCCCCUUGGCAACCACAAGUCUGUUUUCCAUGUCUGUGAGUCACUUUCUAGUUCAUUUAUGCCACAUUUUAGGUUCCACAUAUAAGUGAUAUCACAUGGUAUUUGUUUUUCUCUUUCUGACUUACUUAACUUAGUAUGAGAGACUCUAGUUCCUUCCAUGCUACCUCAAAUGGCAUUAUUUUGUUCCUUUUUAUGGCUAAGUAGUAUUCCAUUGUGUAUAUGUACCACAUUUUCUUAAUCCAGUCAUCUGUUGAUGGAUAUUUAGGGUGAAAAGGGAACACUUUUCCCCACAUUGUGGGAAUGUAAAUUGGUGCAGCCACUAUGGAAAACAGUAUGGAGUUUCCUUAGGAAACUAAGUAUAGACCUAUUAUAUGAUCCAGCAAUUCCACUCCUGAGUAUUUAUCUGGACAGAACUAUAAUUCAAAAAGAUACAUGCACAUGUAUAUUCAUAAUAGCCAGGAUAUUGCUAUAGUAUUCAUACCUGUUGAAGAAGUAUGAGCUCUCCUUCUCUUCCAGUGUAUGAGAAACCAGGAAAGUCUGGUAUUUUGGUUUUUGGGUUUUUUUAGCUGUACCCCCAGCACAUGUAAGUUCCUCAUCAACGGAAUGAACCUGGGCCAAAGCUAUGACCUAUGCCACAGCUGUGGCAGAGCUGGAUCCUUAACCCACUGCGCUGGCUGAUGAUGGAACCCAUGCCACCACAGAGACAAAGCUGGAUACUGAACCACUGUGCUAUAGCAGGAACUCCAAGGAAAGUCUUUUUUUGUGGGAGAGAGCCAGACAUACUAAAUAUGAGAAAGUAAAAUGGCAUCCAAAGAAAGUGCAGAUGUAAAUAAAGGGAAGGCUUGAAGAAAGUUUAAGUAGACAACCAGGGGUUAGAAAACUAGAAAAACAGUGAUGAUAGAGAAGGGGGUUAAUUCUGAAAGUCAGAGUUGUAUAGCUUUGCCCAGGUUUCUGUGUACCUCUAGGAAAUAUUCAUGGGCAAUAUUCUAGAUGCAUGUAAAGAGGCUGUGACAGAUGGAAACUUAGAAAUAACUCAGAAAUAUUGGGGGAUGUUAUGGUUAUUUGGGUACACAAUAAAUAAAAAGUUACUUAUCUGUAUAAAGAAAGCAAUUCCUGAAGUGCAGACUGUACCUUAGUGUCAAACGUUUUUUCUCUCUCUCUUGUUUUAAUUAAUUCAGGAGGGGUGGACACUCUAAUCUGUGCAUCGUGGUAGAUCACUAAGACCUACAUGAUGACAUUGUCUACUUUUACAAUCUAAAAGAAGCUUGUCAUGCAAUUUUUUUCCCCCUAGUGAAGAAAUCUCUGUUAGCUUUGAGAAAACAUAGAUAUAUUGUCUGGCAUUGUUCUUUGAGAAUUUCACUUUAUGAGGCUACAUGUUUUUUUGAUCCUAAUGGGAACACUUUUUGUUUUUAAUCUUUCUGGAAAAGUGUCUCGAUUUACUUUCACUUAUGACCUAAGGUGUAUUGGGCUAAAGAAAGUACCACAUUAGACCUGCGUUCUUUAAAAGGCAAAUACAGUUUGUAAAGAAGGUGGAAUCAUACCUUGAUGAAGAAUGGCUAGAUAGGCAGUUUGCUUUUGAAAGUGCUUAGCCUACUAUAUGUAAUUAGAUUCAUCUUUUUAGUUAAUAAUUAGGGUUUGAUAUAGGCCAGAUAAUAGUGUAGAUGUUAGCAGUACAGUGGUAAAGAAGCUGCCAGGAUUCCAAGCUAAACAAGUUUAUUAAACAAAUAAAUCAGACAUAGAUAAGAUAAUGAUAAUUUUUAAAAGAAAACAAGACAAGGUAAUGGGAUAAAAAAUGAUGAGGUCGGAGUCAGGUGGUAACUUGGGCAGAUUGGUCAGAGAAAGCAUCUCUGAGACGGAGACAUUUAAAAACUGAAUGCAAGGACAAUGGCAUGUGAACAUCUAGGGAUUCAAAUGUUUCAAGUGCAGAGAAACAAACACAGCAAAUCAACAGAUGGGUAGAAGGAACAAGGCUAUGCAUGGAAAAAAACAUAUUGGCUAUUUCAUCAUGUUGACUCUAUAGAGAUGUCCACAUAAGACAUCUUUAACAAAAAGUCCAUGAGCCAUUAAAUAAAUCUCAUUACCUGGCAGUUCCACAGCUCUCUCUCUAAAACAUAGCCCUUAAUUCUGAAAACAAAGAUGCUUUCUCAACCAUAAAAAGACAAAUAAAUGAUUAAUAUUGUUCUUAUAUUUAUACCCUUUUUAUUUACUAGAAGAAAAAAAUCAGUGGCAAGUGAGAACACUGCUUAGAAAAUCUAAUCUGCAUAAUAACUCAAGGUAGGAAUAAAGACCACUGUUGGGAAUUCCUCUUGUGGUGCAGUGGAAAUGAAUCUGACUGUUAUCCAUGAGGAUGAGGGUUUGAUCCCUGGCCCUGCUCAGUGGGUUGAGGAUCUGGCAUUAUCCUGAACUGUGGCAUAAGUCACAGACGCGGCUUGGAUCCUGUGUUGUCGUGGCCGUGGCAUAGGCUGGCAGCUGUAGCUCUGAUUUGACCCCUAGCCUGGGAACUU